GGGGAAUAUUGCACAAUGGGCGCAAGCCUGAUGCAGCGACGCCGCGUGAGGGAUGGAGGCCUUCGGGUUGUAAACCUCUUUUAUCGGGGAGCAAGCGAGAGUGAGUUUACCCGUUGAAUAAGCACCGGCUAACUACGUGCCAGCAGCCGCGGUAAUACGUAGGGUGCAAGCGUUAUCCGGAAUUAUUGGGCGUAAAGGGCUCGUAGGCGGUUCGUCGCGUCCGGUGUGAAAGUCCAUCGCUUAACGGUGGAUCCGCGCCGGGUACGGGCGGGCUUGAGUGCGGUAGGGGAGACUGGAAUUCCCGGUGUAACGGUGGAAUGUGUAGAUAUCGGGAAGAACACCAAUGGCGAAGGCAGGUCUCUGGGCCGUUACUGACGCUGAGGAGCGAAAGCGUGGGGAGCGAACAGGAUUAGAUACCCUGGUAGUCCACGCCGUAAACGGUGGAUGCUGGAUGUGGGGCCCGUUCCACGGGUUCCGUGUCGGAGCUAACGCGUUAAGCAUCCCGCCUGGGGAGUACGGCCGCAAGGCUAAAACUCAAAGAAAUUGACGGGGGCCCGCACAAGCGGCGGAGCAUGCGGAUUAAUUCGAUGCAACGCGAAGAACCUUACCUGGGCUUGACAUGUUCCCGACGGUCGUAGAGAUACGGCUUCCCUUCGGGGCGGGUUCACAGGUGGUGCAUGGUCGUCGUCAGCUCGUGUCGUGAGAUGUUGGGUUAAGUCCCGCAACGAGCGCAACCCUCGCCCCGUGUUGCCAGCGGAUUAUGCCGGGAACUCACGGGGGACCGCCGGGGUUAACUCGGAGGAAGGUGGGGAUGACGUCAGAUCAUCAUGCCCCUUACGUCCAGGGCUUCACGCAUGCUACAAUGGCCGGUACAACGGGAUGCGACGCGGCGACGCGGAGCGGAUCCCUGAAAACCGGUCUCAGUUCGGAUCGCAGUCUGCGACUCGACUGCGUGAAGGCGGAGUCGCUAGUAAUCGCGAAUCAGCAACGUCGCGGUGAAUGCGUUCCCG
This 1010-nucleotide ribosomal RNA is filed under the name uncultured bacterium. RNAcentral's name for it is "bacterial SSU rRNA". It matches the Rfam family "Bacterial small subunit ribosomal RNA", at positions 356 to 1376 of the family's 1533-position model. The record is from RNAcentral.